GAUGAACGCUGGCGGCGUGCCUAAUACAUGCAAGUCGAACGCUGAAGGAGGAGCUUGCUCUUCUGGAUGAGUUGCGAACGGGUGAGUAACGAGUAGGUAACCUGCCUGGUAGCGGGGGAUAACUAUUGGAAACGAUAGCUAAUACCGCAUGACAACAGUUAUUGCAUGAUAACUGUUUAAAAGGGGCAACUGCUCCACUACCAGAUGGACCUGCGUUGUAUUAGCUAGUUGGUGAGGUAACGGCUCACCAAGGCGACGAUACAUAGCCGACCUGAGAGGGUGAUCGGCCACACUGGGACUGAGACACGGCCCAGACUCCUUCGGGAGGCAGCAGGAGGGGAUCUUCGGCAAUGGACGGAAGUCUGGCCGAACACCGCCGCGUGAGAGAAGAAGGUUUUCGGGUCGUAAAGGUCGGUUGUAAGGGGAGAACGAGUGUGAGAGUGGAAAGUUCACUCUGUGACGGUAUCUUACCAGAAAGGGACGGCUAACUACGUG
RNAcentral lists this ribosomal RNA (495 nucleotides) under uncultured bacterium. RNAcentral's name for it is "partial 16S ribosomal RNA". It matches the Rfam family "Bacterial small subunit ribosomal RNA", at positions 28 to 507 of the family's 1533-position model. The record is from RNAcentral.